AGUGAACGCUGGCGGUAGGCCUAACACAUGCAAGUCGAACGGCAGCACAGUAAGAGCUUGCUCUUACGGGUGGCGAGUGGCGGACGGGUGAGGAAUACAUCGGAAUCUACUUUUUCGUGGGGGAUAACGUAGGGAAACUUACGCUAAUACCGCAUACGACCUACGGGUGAAAGCAGGGGAUCUUCGGACCCUGCGCGAUUGAAUGAGCCGAUGUCGGAUUAGCUAGUUGGCGGGGUAAAGGCCCACCAAGGCGACGAUCCGUAGCUGGUCUGAGAGGAUGAUCAGCCACACUGGAACUGAGACACGGUCCAGACUCCUACGGGAGGCAGCAGUGGGGAAUAUUGGACAAUGGGCGCAAGCCUGAUCCAGCCAUACCGCGUGGGUGAAGAGGGCCUUCGGGUUGUAAAGCCCUUUUGUUGGGAAAGAAAAGCAGCAGGUUAAUACCCCGCUGUUCUGACGGUACCCAAAGAAUAAGCACCGGCUAACUUCGUG
Molecule: ribosomal RNA, 492 nt
Filed under: uncultured bacterium
Lineage: Bacteria
Description: partial 16S ribosomal RNA
Rfam family: Bacterial small subunit ribosomal RNA
Source: RNAcentral